UAGGGAAUCUUCGGCAAUGGACGAAAGUCUGACCGAGCAACGCCGCGUGAGUGAAGAAGGUUUUCGGAUCGUAAAACUCUGUUGUUAGAGAAGAACAAGGACGUUAGUAACUGAACGUCCCCUGACGGUAUCUAACCAGGAAGCCACGGCUAACUACGUGCCAGCAGCCGCGGUAAUACGUAGGUGGCAAGCGUUGUCCGGAUUUAUUGGGCGUAAAGCGAGCGCAGGCGGUUUCUUAAGUCUGAUGUGAAAGCCCCCGGCUCAACCGGGGAGGGUCAUUGGAAACUGGGAGACUUGAGUGCAGAAGAGGAGAGUGGAAUUCCAUGUGUAGCGGUGAAAUGCGUAGAUAUAUGGAGGAACACCAGUGGCGAAGGCGGCUCUCUGGUCUGUAACUGACGCUGAGGCUCGAAAGCGUGGGGAGCAAACAGG
Molecule: ribosomal RNA, 429 nt
Filed under: Chloroflexota bacterium
Lineage: Bacteria; Bacillati; Chloroflexota
Also listed under: 1 other name
Description: Chloroflexi bacterium partial 16S ribosomal RNA
Rfam family: Bacterial small subunit ribosomal RNA
Source: RNAcentral